This 504-nucleotide ribosomal RNA is filed under the name uncultured Desulfobulbus sp. RNAcentral's name for it is "bacterial SSU rRNA". It matches the Rfam family "Bacterial small subunit ribosomal RNA", at positions 904 to 1382 of the family's 1533-position model. The record is from RNAcentral. Lineage: Bacteria; Pseudomonadati; Thermodesulfobacteriota; Desulfobulbia; Desulfobulbales; Desulfobulbaceae.
UUGCCAGCCCGCUCAGAAACUUAAGGAAUUGACGGGGCCGCACAAGCGGUGGAGCAUGUGGUUUAAUUCGAUGCAACGCGAAGAACCUUACCUGGUCUUGACAUCCCGGAGACCCUUAGGAAACUAGGGGGUGCUUCCAUCUGGAAGAAUCUGGAGACAGGUGCUGCAUGGCUGUCGUCAGCUCGUGUCGUGAGAUGUUGGGUUAAGUCCCGCAACGAGCGCAACCCUUGCCUUUAGUUGCCAGCAGUUCGGCUGGGCACUCUAAAGGGACUGCCGGUGUUAAACCGGAGGAAGGUGGGGAUGACGUCAAGUCCUCAUGGCCUUUAUGACCAGGGCUACACACGUACUACAAUGGCCGAUACAAAGGGCAGCGACACUGCGAGGUGAAGCCAAUCCCGUAAAAUCGGUCUCAGUCCGGAUUGGAGUCUGCAACUCGACUCCAUGAAGUUGGAAUCGCUAGUAAUCGUGGAUCAGCAUGCCACGGUGAAUACGUUCCCGGGCCUU